RNAcentral lists this ribosomal RNA (2903 nucleotides) under Proteus appendicitidis. Its description in RNAcentral is "Proteus sp. HZ0627 23S ribosomal RNA". It matches the Rfam family "Bacterial large subunit ribosomal RNA". Lineage: Bacteria; Pseudomonadati; Pseudomonadota; Gammaproteobacteria; Enterobacterales; Morganellaceae. The record is from RNAcentral.
GGUUAAGCGAAUAAGCGUACACGGUGGAUGCCUAGGCAAUCAGAGGCGAUGAAGGACGUGCUAAUCUGCGAUAAGCGUCGGUAAGGUGAUAUGAACCGUUAUACCCGACGAUUUCCGAAUGGGGAAACCCAAUAUCCAAUGGAUAUUAUCAUUAACUGAAUACAUAGGUUAAUGAAGCGAACCGGGAGAACUGAAACAUCUCAGUACCCCGAGGAAAAGAAAUCAACCGAGAUUCCCCUAGUAGCGGCGAGCGAACGGGGAACAGCCCAGAGUCUUAAUCAACAGCAGCAUCAGGAGAACGGUCUGGAAAGUCCGGCAGUAAAGGGUGAUAGCCCCGUAUCUGAAGAUGCUGUUAUUGUGAACUCGACGAGUAGGGCGGGACACGUGUUAUCCUGUCUGAAUAUGGGGGGACCAUCCUCCAAGGCUAAAUACUCCUGAUUGACCGAUAGUGAACCAGUACCGUGAGGGAAAGGCGAAAAGAACCCCGGCGAGGGGAGUGAAAAAGAACCUGAAACCGUGUACGUACAAGCAGUAGGAGCCUCUUCGUGAGGUGACUGCGUACCUUUUGUAUAAUGGGUCAGCGACUUAUAUUCUGUAGCAAGGUUAACCGUAUAGGGGAGCCGUAGGGAAACCGAGUCUUAACUGGGCGAAUGAGUUGCAGGGUAUAGACCCGAAACCCGGUGAUCUAUCCAUGGGCAGGUUGAAGGUUGGGUAACACUAACUGGAGGACCGAACCGACUAAUGUUGAAAAAUUAGCGGAUGACUUGUGGAUGGGGGUGAAAGGCCAAUCAAACCGGGAGAUAGCUGGUUCUCCCCGAAAGCUAUUUAGGUAGCGCCUCGUGAAUUCAUCUUCGGGGGUAGAGCACUGUUUCGACUAGGGGGUCAUCCCGACUUACCAACUCGAUGCAAACUGCGAAUACCGAAGAAUGUUAUCACGGGAGACACACGGCGGGUGCUAACGUCCGUCGUGAAGAGGGAAACAACCCAGACCGCCAGCUAAGGUCCCAAAGUCAUGGUUAAGUGGGAAACGAAGUGGGAAGGCUCAGACAGCCAGGAUGUUGGCUUAGAAGCAGCCAUCAUUUAAAGAAAGCGUAAUAGCUCACUGGUCGAGUCGGCCCGCGCGGAAGAUGUAACGGGGCUAAACCAUGCACCGAAGCUGCGGCAGCGACACUAUGUGUUGUUGGGUAGGGGAGCGUUCUGUAAGCCUGCGAAGGUGUACUGUGAGGUAUGCUGGAGGUAUCAGAAGUGCGAAUGCUGACAUAAGUAACGAUAAUGCGGGUGAAAAACCCGCACGCCGGAAGACCAAGGGUUCCUGUCCAACGUUAAUCGGGGCAGGGUGAGUCGACCCCUAAGGCGAGGCUGAAAAGCGUAGUCGAUGGGAAACGGGUUAAUAUUCCCGUACUGGUGGUAACUGCGAUGGGGGAACGGAGAAGGCUAGGUUGUCCGGGCGACGGUCGUCCCGGUUCAAGCAUGUAGGCAGAGUGAUUAGGCAAAUCCGGUCACUUAAUGCUGAGGUGUGAUGACGAGCCACUAAGGUGGUGAAGCAAUUGAUGCCCUGCUUCCAGGAAAAGCCUCUAAGCUUCAGGUUACCAACAAUCGUACCCCAAACCGACACAGGUGGUCAGGUAGAGAAUACUCAGGCGCUUGAGAGAACUCGGGUGAAGGAACUAGGCAAAAUGGUGCCGUAACUUCGGGAGAAGGCACGCUGGCGGUAAGUGAAGUCCCUUGCGGACGGAGCCGAAGCCAGUCGAAGAUACCAGCUGGCUGCAACUGUUUAUUAAAAACACAGCACUGUGCAAACACGAAAGUGGACGUAUACGGUGUGACGCCUGCCCGGUGCUGGAAGGUUAAUUGAUGGGGUUAUCCUUAGGGAGAAGCUCUUGAUCGAAGCCCCAGUAAACGGCGGCCGUAACUAUAACGGUCCUAAGGUAGCGAAAUUCCUUGUCGGGUAAGUUCCGACCUGCACGAAUGGCGUAAUGAUGGCCAGGCUGUCUCCACCCGAGACUCAGUGAAAUUGAACUCGCUGUGAAGAUGCAGUGUACCCGCGGCAAGACGGAAAGACCCCGUGAACCUUUACUAUAGCUUGACACUGAACAUUGAGCCUUGAUGUGUAGGAUAGGUGGGAGACUAUGAAGUGUGGACGCCAGUCUGCAUGGAGUCAACCUUGAAAUACCACCCUUUAACGUUUGAUGUUCUAACCUAGGUCCAUAAUCUGGAUCGGGGACCGUGUCUGGUGGGUAGUUUGACUGGGGCGGUCUCCUCCUAAAGAGUAACGGAGGAGCACGAAGGUUGGCUAAGCAUGGUCGGACAUCAUGCGGUUAGUGCAAAGGCAUAAGCCAGCUUGACUGUGAGAGUGACGGCUCGAGCAGGUACGAAAGUAGGUCUUAGUGAUCCGGUGGUUCUGAAUGGAAGGGCCAUCGCUCAACGGAUAAAAGGUACUCCGGGGAUAACAGGCUGAUACCGCCCAAGAGUUCAUAUCGACGGCGGUGUUUGGCACCUCGAUGUCGGCUCAUCACAUCCUGGGGCUGAAGUAGGUCCCAAGGGUAUGGCUGUUCGCCAUUUAAAGUGGUACGCGAGCUGGGUUUAGAACGUCGUGAGACAGUUCGGUCCCUAUCUGCCGUGGGCGUUGGAAGAUUGAGAGGGGUUGCUCCUAGUACGAGAGGACCGGAGUGAACGCACCACUGGUGUUCGGGUUGUCAUGCCAAUGGCAUUGCCCGGUAGCUAAGUGCGGAAGAGAUAACCGCUGAAAGCAUCUAAGCGGGAAACUUGCCUCGAGAUGAGUCUUCCCUGUCACCUAGAGUGACCUAAAGGAACGUUUAAGACUAAGACGUUGAUAGGCUGGGUGUGUAAGCGUAGCGAUACGUUGAGCUAACCAGUACUAAUGAACCGUGAGGCUUAACCUG